Molecule: ribosomal RNA, 401 nt
Filed under: bacterium enrichment culture clone ALO1_GLFRUDD03GOGCO
Lineage: Bacteria
Description: bacterial SSU rRNA
Rfam family: Bacterial small subunit ribosomal RNA
Source: RNAcentral
GAGUUUGAUCCUGGCUCAGAUUGAACGCUGGCGGCAUGCCUUACACAUGCAAGUCGAACGGCAGCACGGGAGCUUGCUCCUGGUGGCGAGUGGCGAACGGGUGAGUAAUGCAUCGGAACGUAUCCUGGAGUGGGGGAUAACGUAGCGAAAGUUACGCUAAUACCGCAUAUUCUGUGAGCAGGAAAGCGGGGGACCUUCGGGCCUCGCGCUCUUGGAGCGGCCGAUGUCGGAUUAGCUAGUUGGUGAGGUAAAGGCUCACCAAGGCGACGAUCCGUAGCAGGUCUGAGAGGAUGAUCUGCCACACUGGAACUGAGACACGGUCCAGACUCCGUACGGAGGCAGCAGUGGGUAAUUUUGGACAAGUGGGGCAACCCUGAUCCAGCCAUGCCGCGUGAGUGAAG